UUACCAGGUCAAGACAUGGGCGUGAUUGACAGGCUAAUGACUUUUCUCGAUUCCAUGGAUGGUGGUGCAUGGUCGCACUUAGUUGGUGCAGUGAUUUGUCAGGUUUAUUCCGGUAACGAACGAGACCUCGGCCUUGUAAAUAGCUAUGCUGCUUACAGGGACAUUGGCGGCUACGCCAAGGAAGCUCGAGGCAAUUGCAGAUCUGGAAUGCCCUUAGAUGUCCUGGGUCGCACGCGUGCUACAAUGACGCCACGAACGAGCUUGCGUGAUGAAAGUUACGCAUAAUCAGCAGUCGGCGUCUUAAGGGAUAGUCUCUUGUAACUGUGGGACUCCAACUAGGAAUGUCUCGUAAGCACAAGUCAACAUCUUGUGUUGAUUACGUCCCUGCUCUUUGUACACACCGCCCGUCGCUCCUACCGAUCGAGUGUUUAGGUGAAUUUGAUGGACGUAAGGAAGUCAAAUAAACCUGAGCACUAGAGAAGGAGAAGUCUAUACAUGUU
RNAcentral lists this ribosomal RNA (500 nucleotides) under uncultured Myrionecta. RNAcentral's name for it is "bacterial SSU rRNA". It matches the Rfam family "Eukaryotic small subunit ribosomal RNA", at positions 1215 to 1800 of the family's 1831-position model. Lineage: Eukaryota; Ciliophora; Litostomatea; Cyclotrichida; Mesodiniidae. The record is from RNAcentral.